CCCUUAGAUGUUCUGGACCGCACGCGUGCUACACUGAGUGGAUCAGCGGGUCAGGUUGCGCGAAAGCGUUUCCUAAUCUUUAAAUCCGCUCGUGAUGGGGAUUGACGGUUGCAAUUUUCUGUCAUGAACGAGGAAUGCCUUGUAAGCGCGGGUCAUCAUCCCGCGCUGAAUACGUCCCUGCCCUUUGUACACACCGCCCGUCGCUCCUACCGAUUGAGUGGUCCGGUGAGGCUUUGGGAUCUGAGCGGAAAGAGCGUUUCGCUGUUUCUGCUCGGAAAACUCAGUCGAACCUUAUCAUUUAGAGGAAGGAGAAGUCGUAACA
This 322-nucleotide ribosomal RNA is filed under the name uncultured eukaryote. Its description in RNAcentral is "partial 18S ribosomal RNA". It matches the Rfam family "Eukaryotic small subunit ribosomal RNA", at positions 1470 to 1796 of the family's 1831-position model. The record is from RNAcentral.